UACGGAGGAUGCGAGCGUUAUCCGGAUUUAUUGGGUUUAAAGGGUGCGCAGGCGGGAGAUUAAGUCGGCGGUGAAAUUUUGCAGCUCAACUGUAAAAGUGCCUUCGAAACUGGUUUCCUUGAGUGUAGAUGAAGUAGGCGGAAUUUGUGGUGUAGCGGUGAAAUGCAUAGAUAUCACGAGGAACUCCGAUUGCGCAGGCAGCUUACUAAACCAUAACUGACGCUCAGGCACGAAGGCGUGGGGAUCAAACAGGAUUAGAUACCCGGGUAGU
Molecule: ribosomal RNA, 271 nt
Filed under: uncultured prokaryote
Description: partial 16S ribosomal RNA
Rfam family: Bacterial small subunit ribosomal RNA
Source: RNAcentral